This 253-nucleotide ribosomal RNA is filed under the name uncultured bacterium. Its description in RNAcentral is "partial 16S ribosomal RNA". It matches the Rfam family "Bacterial small subunit ribosomal RNA", at positions 524 to 776 of the family's 1533-position model. The record is from RNAcentral.
UACGGGGGAGCAAGCGUUGGUCGGAUUUACUGGGCGUAAAGGGCGCGUAGGCGGUCGUGACAAGUCACUUGUGAAAUCUCCGGGCUUAACUCGGAACGGUCAAGUGAUACUGUCGGACUAGAGUACAGAAGGGGCAACUGGAAUUCUCGGUGUAGCGGUGAAAUGCGUAGAUAUCGAGAGGAACACCUGCGGCGAAGGCGGGUUGCUGGGCUGAUACUGACGCUGAGGCGCGAAAGCCAGGGGAGCGAACGGG